GACGAACGCUGGCGGCGUGCUUAACACAUGCAAGUCGAACGGAAAGGCCCUGCUUUUGUGGGGUGCUCGAGUGGCGAACGGGUGAGUAACACGUGAGUAACCUGCCCUUGACUUUGGGAUAACUUCAGGAAACUGGGGCUAAUACCGGAUAGGAGCUCCUGCUGCAUGGUGGGGGUUGGAAAGUUUCGGCGGUUGGGGAUGGACUCGCGGCUUAUCAGCUUGUUGGUGGGGUAGUGGUUUACCAAGGCUUUGACGGGUAGCCGGCCUGAGAGGGUGACCGGCCACAUUGGGACUGAGGUAAGGCCCAGACUCCUACGGGAGGCAGCAGUGGGGAAUAUUGCACUAUGGGCGGAAGCCUGAUGCAGCAACGCCGCGUGCGGGAUGACGGCCUUCGGGUUGUAAGCCGCUUUCGCCUGUGACGAAGCGUGAGUGACGGUAAUGGGUAAAGAAGCACCGGCUAACUACGUG
This 468-nucleotide ribosomal RNA is filed under the name uncultured bacterium. Its description in RNAcentral is "partial 16S ribosomal RNA". It matches the Rfam family "Bacterial small subunit ribosomal RNA", at positions 28 to 507 of the family's 1533-position model. The record is from RNAcentral.